AGGAUGAUCAGCCACACUGGGACUGAGACACGGCCCAGACUCCCUUAGGAGGCAGCAGUGAGGAAUCUUGGACAAUGGGCGAAAGCCUGAUCCAGCAAUAUUACGUGAGUGAUGACAGCUAUUUGGUUGUAAAGCUCUUUCACCGAGGAGGACAAUGACAGUACUCGAAGAAGAAGUCCCGGCUAACUCCGUGCCAGCAGCCGCGGUAAUACGGGGGGGACAAGUGUUAUUCGGAAUGACUGGGUGUAAAGAGUCUGUAGGCGGUUUUUUAAGUUGAAAUAUAAAUCUUGUAGCUUGACUUCAAGAAAGGUUUCAAAACUGAAAGACUAGAGUUUGAUAGGGGAAAGUAGAAUUUCUAAUGGAGGGAUAAAAUUCAUAGAGAUUAGAAGGAAUACCAGAGGCGAAGGCGACUUUCUGGAUCAAAACUGACGCUGAGAGACGAAAGCAUGGGUAGCGAACAGGAUUAGAUACCCUGGUAGUCCAUAGCUGUAAACGAUGAGUGCUCGUAUUUAGGGUCAAUCUUAGAUACUAAGCUAACGCGUUAAGCACUCCACCUGGGGAGUACGGUCGCAAGACUGAAACUCAAAGGAAUUGACGGGGGCCCACACAAGCGGUGGAGCAUGUGGUUUAAUUCGACAAUACGCGCAGAACCUUACCAGCCCUUGACAUGUAAGUGGAGGUCUAUGAAAAUAGGUCUUUUCAUGCUUAUACAGGCGCUGCAUGGCUGUCGUCAGCUCGUGUCGUGAGAUGUUGGGUUAAGUCCUUUAACGAGCGCAACCCUCUUUAUCUGUUGCUAUCACCUUAAGGUGAGCACUCUGAUAAAACUGCCAGUGAUAAACUGGAGGAAGGUGGGGAUGACGUCAAGUCCUCAUGGCCCUUAU
Molecule: ribosomal RNA, 881 nt
Filed under: marine metagenome
Description: bacterial SSU rRNA
Rfam family: Bacterial small subunit ribosomal RNA
Source: RNAcentral